AGUGAACGCUGGCGGUAGGCCUAACACAUGCAAGUCGAACGGCAGCACAGUAAGAGCUUGCUCUUACGGGUGGCGAGUGGCGGACGGGUGAGGAAUACAUCGGAAUCUACUUUUUCGUGGGGGAUAAUGUAGGGAAACUUACGCUAAUACCGCAUACGACCUACGGGUGAAAGCAGGGGAUCUUCGGACCUUGCGCGAUUGAAUGAGCCGAUGUCGGAUUAGCUAGUUGGCGGGGUAAAGGCUCACCAAGGCGACGAUCCGUAGCUGGUCUGAGAGGAUGAUCAGCGACACUGGAAGUGAGACACGGUCCAGACUCCUACGGGAGGCGGCAGUGGGGAAUAUUGGACAAAGGGCGCAAGCCUGAUCCAGCCAUACCGCGUGGGUGAAGAAGGCCUUCGGGUUGUAAAGCCCUUUUGUUGGGAAAGAAAAGCAGCAGGUUAAUACCCCGCUGUUCUGACGGUACCCAAAGAAUAAGCACCGGCUAACUUCGUG
This 492-nucleotide ribosomal RNA is filed under the name uncultured bacterium. Its description in RNAcentral is "partial 16S ribosomal RNA". It matches the Rfam family "Bacterial small subunit ribosomal RNA", at positions 29 to 507 of the family's 1533-position model. The record is from RNAcentral.